RNAcentral lists this unclassified non-coding RNA (260 nucleotides) under plant metagenome. Its description in RNAcentral is "partial contains small subunit ribosomal RNA, internal transcribed spacer 1, and 5.8S ribosomal RNA". The record is from RNAcentral.
UUUCCGUAGGUGAACCUGCGGAAGGAUCAUUACCGAAUUGUCAAACGGGUUGUUGCUGGUCUUCAAACAGGGACAUGUGCACGCUCUGUUUACACAUCCACUCACACCUGUGCACCCUCCGUAGUUCUAUGGUCUGGGGGACCCUGUCUUCCUGGCGUGGUUCUACGUCUUUACACACACUCUGUAAUAAAGUCUUAUGGAAUGUAUGCCGCGUCUAACGCAAUACAAUACAACUUUCAGCAACGGAUCUCUUGGCUCUC